RNAcentral lists this ribosomal RNA (333 nucleotides) under Triticum aestivum (bread wheat). RNAcentral's name for it is "partial small subunit ribosomal RNA". Lineage: Eukaryota; Viridiplantae; Streptophyta; Magnoliopsida; Poales; Poaceae. The record is from RNAcentral.
AUGACACCCUACCGUUGCUGCUGCUCCGAGGUCACGAGCAAUGCCACGGCGGCUGCCAUGUUAGUCACUAGCUUCUUCGUUGUUGCUUUCCUCUACUCUUCCAUCGCCGGGCUGAGCAAUGCCAACCUGACCUUUCCAGCUCCGUCGAUGUUUUUAUUUGUUGUAUCUUUGAGAAUAAAGAUUUUCCAGCACUAUAUUGACAGCAGUAUUAUACUAGGAUUGGCAGCAAAGAGUUUGGAGCUGCCAUUUAACAAAACAGUACAGCGAGGAGGUGUGCUCUUGAGUGUCAUACAGGAAUCCAUAUCCAAGGGCAGGUCAAUACCUGAAUCCUGA